AUCAAGAAACAGUGGUGUUAAGGUAGACAAAUAAAGUGGCGCAAUCGAAAAGAUCUCCAUUCACAGCGGACAAUUUAAGGUAGGCAGGAAAGGCUUUACAUUAAUCUUCCUUCAAAAAAUAUGAUAAUUGUAAAAACUCCCUUAGGUUCCCCGACAAAUAUUGAUGGUCCUUUUUGUACAUUGCAAAAAGCGUCAUCUUUGAAACUCCAAUCUCCUAUUUUGUCCUUG
This 228-nucleotide long non-coding RNA is filed under the name Gossypium raimondii (Peruvian cotton). RNAcentral's name for it is "long non-coding RNA (GRAI_LNC004486)". The record is from RNAcentral. Lineage: Eukaryota; Viridiplantae; Streptophyta; Magnoliopsida; Malvales; Malvaceae.